This 444-nucleotide ribosomal RNA is filed under the name Ocypode ceratophthalmus. RNAcentral describes it as "partial 12S small subunit ribosomal RNA". Lineage: Eukaryota; Metazoa; Arthropoda; Malacostraca; Decapoda; Ocypodidae. The record is from RNAcentral.
AAGGGUAAAAUCAGAAUAUAGUUUAUAAACAAAUAACUUGAGCUGAAACUUAAUAAAUUUAGUUUAAAACUAGGAUUAGAUACCCUAUUAUUCUAAAUUGAAACGAAUAAAUACUGGAUUAGUAAGAGUUAUAUACUUAAAAAUUAAAAAAUUUGGCAGUAGUUUAAUCUUUUUAGAGGAACCUGUUUUUUAAUCGAUACACCGCGUAGGAUCUUACUUGAGUUUGUAUACCAUCAUUAUCAGAUGAUUCUAAAAGGAGAAAUUGUUAGGUUUAGUUUAUCUAGUAAAAUUAGAUCAUGGUACAGCUUAUGAGCAAGUUUAAAUGGGUUACAAUAAAUUAAUUUAAACGGAAUAUAAUAUAUGAAGGAGGAUUUAAUUGUAUGAGGAUAAAGUAUGUCCUCAAGAAAUAGGCUCUAAAUUAUGUACAUAUCGCCCGUCGCUUUC